GAUGAACGCUGGCGGCGUGCCUAAUACAUGCAAGUAGAACGCUGAGGGAGGAGCUUGCUCUUCUGGAUGAGUUGCGAACGGGUGAGUAACGCGUAGGUAACCUGCCUGGUAGCGGGGGAUAACUAUUGGAAACGAUAGCUAAUACCGCAUGACAACAGUUAUUGCAUGAUAACUGUUUAAAAGGGGCAACUGCUCCACUACCAGAUGGACCUGCGUUGUAUUAGCUAGUUGGUGAGGUAACGGCUCACCAAGGCGACGAUACAUAGCCGACCUGAGAGGGGGAUCGGCCACCCUGGGACUGAGACACGGCCCAGACUCCUACGGGAGGCAGCAGUAGGGAAUCUUCGGCAAUGGACGGAAGUCUGACCGAGCAACGCCGCGUGAGGGAAGAAGGUUUUCGGAUCGUAAAGCUCUGUUGUAAGAGAAGAACGAGUGUGAGAGUGGAAAGUUCACACUGUGACGGUAUCUUACCAGAAAGGGACGGCUAACUACGUG
Molecule: ribosomal RNA, 495 nt
Filed under: uncultured bacterium
Lineage: Bacteria
Description: partial 16S ribosomal RNA
Rfam family: Bacterial small subunit ribosomal RNA
Source: RNAcentral